GUUUCCGUGGUGUAGUUGUUAUCACGUGCACCUCACACGCGCAAGGUCCCCGGUUCGAUCACGGGUGGAAACA
RNAcentral lists this transfer RNA (73 nucleotides) under Rhipicephalus microplus (southern cattle tick). RNAcentral describes it as "tRNA-Val". The record is from RNAcentral. Lineage: Eukaryota; Metazoa; Arthropoda; Arachnida; Ixodida; Ixodidae.